Molecule: long non-coding RNA, 2432 nt
Filed under: Chinchilla lanigera (long-tailed chinchilla)
Lineage: Eukaryota; Metazoa; Chordata; Mammalia; Rodentia; Chinchillidae
Description: lncRNA (ENSCLAG00000026363.1)
Source: RNAcentral
AAAUAUUCAGACUUCAGUGUCUGCCAAGGGGUGGGUUUGGCCGUGACAGGAAAACAGGAAAAGGCUUAAAAGUUAAUAAAGCUGGAAGAAAACAGCUUUCAUGUUUGCAGGGGCAAUUUCCGGGGCCCCUGCUCCCAGCUACCUCUGGAUCAGAUCAAGGAAGUUUUGUGGUGACGGGGCUGAGCCUCUCCUUGCGUUGGAGCAGCCUGAUUAAGUUUCUGGAAACCGGCAAGAAGCGCAAGGGAGUUUCUGGGAGAUGUUAUUAGAGUGAAUGGACUGUUUUCCUUAGCAACCCCAGGGAGCCGGGUCACAUGCUUGUUACUGGCAUUAAGGACAGGGAGCAAGCUUGCAGAUUCCUCUGUUACUGGACAAUGAUCUAUCAAAGACAGAAUGUGUGCCAACUGGUGUCCUGGGCUCCUGGAGCCUGGUGAGGAAGAAGGCACCCAUCUUCUUGUUCUUGAACCUCUUACAUUUCAAGGGGGAGAUGGAUGAGAGGGGCAGAAAUUAAAAGCAGCGAGAGAAAAGUAACCAAGACACCAUGUCAUUACCUGAUGGUGGUAGCGUGCAUGGCCCUCAGGACUGCAGAGAUCUGGCGAGACCUCGCCGGUGGAGGAGCAGGAACACAUCUUGUCCCCAAGGUGAGGGGCAGGUGCAUCUCAGAAGAAAUGCAGAGUCUUCUCAUCGCUUUUCUGUUCAUUCCGUCCUCCACAAUUGGGCAACUGGUAUCUUUUGGAAAAUAACUGCCUGUCCACAGCGCUGCUUUCAUCGAAGCCACUUCACCAUUGCUCUAAGAUAAAAUUUGCUGUUUGCUGUCAUUGCUGCUGCAGCCACAAGAGAUGGAAGACCAGGCUCCAAUUUCCAGUGGGGUUCUGUAAAACCAGGGCUCAGCGCCUGCACCUGGGAGCUGCAGAAACCGCCAGCUUCUCACCGUCUCUGUCUCUCAUCACUUUGUCCACAGGCUUCAUACAGGGUCAGGGUCCUGUGUGCACACAGGUGGUGCUUAAUAAAUGCUUCUGUGAUCACAGAUGGUCCGGGCAGCUGCAAGCACCUCAUCUUCACACCAUGGCGUCUCCAUGGAGGAAAGUGUGUGUCUCAUUCCCAGAGCCUCAGGAAACAGCCGUGGGCAUCUUCCCAGGGUCCACUGUGUCCACAUUCUGGCCUGAUCCAGUCACCUGGGGAUGCGGCGGGUCUGCAAAGAGCAAAGCUACUUACAAGACACUUAGCGAAGGGUACAGUGGACUGUUCAGGCCGACAGUGCUAGGCUGAGGACCGCUGUGCUGGCAGUCUGUAGCGGGGGGAGAGAUUGGCUUACUUCCUGGGUGACAAGGAAAAGCGGGGUUUUACAGAGGAACAGCAGGGCAGGGUGGGAGUGGAUGCAAAAGCACCAAGAGGAAGGAAGUAUCACAGUGAGGGGGCUGCGGGCUGAGCAGACCCAGCAGGAUUCUUGCUGAAGACAAACGGGAGAUGAGAUGUCCAACCUGGGCAACCGUGGGAGCUGAGGAAUCUGCCCAGAUGUGAGGGUGGGGGAUCCUGCUAGACCAGCUGAGUAGGGUUCUUGCCAAAAUUGGGCUGUUCGGUAGCACACUCCUAUAAUCCCAGCACUCGGGAGGCUGAGGCAGGAAGAUUGUUGUGAGUUCGAGGCCAGCCUGGGCUACAAAGUGAGCUCAAGGCCAGCCUGAACUGCAUAGCAAGACCCUGCCUCAAAAGACAAUAAAUAGAUAAAUAAAAUAAAAUACAGUUGGGCUCUUGAGGGUAUGCCAAAAAGGGGGUGGAGUUGACAAAAAGCCCAGAGCAGCCAGAUUGGGGUUUGAUCAACAAAAAGUGUUUCUGUCAGGUCAGUAAUCAGGGAGUGCUGGGUAAGCAGGGAGAGGCCAUUUGGCCUCCUUUCUGCCCCGUGUCAGAGUCACAUCCUCUGCUUCAAGACCAGCUGCUUCAGAAACUUGAGCAGAACAGCCACUGGCAUUCCCUCCUGUAACCUAGCAGGGAUGCAACGCCCCACCCCGCCGGCCCCCACCUUAGCAUAAGGAUGACGUGUAUCCUGUAUCACUGGCCCCAAGAAGUCAAAGAAGGCAUGGUCCUGUUCUCCCCAGCAUUCCCUCCCCUUGCUCUUUGGUCCAAGCCACUUCCUCCUUCCAGCACACACCCUUCUUUUAAAAAACAGCACAGUCCUUGCUCCUGUGCGCAGACCUCCCUUUUGCUGUCCCUUUCCACAAUGUAAUUGGACCCAGAUAAACUCUCGUCUUUUCUUAUUCUUCUCUUAGUAAAUUCUCUCACCACUGUAUCACCAGCCUCUGUGAUGUCAUCUUCGUGGCAGUCCCCCAAACCAGGGAUAGUGUCUUGGUUACUUUUCUCUCAUUGCUGAGACAAAAUACCUGAUGCCCAAAAUUAAGGAAGGAAAGGUUUAUUUAGCUCAGUGUGUGGAGGUUUCAGUC